This is a non-coding RNA of Microcebus murinus (gray mouse lemur), 482 nucleotides long. The record is from the annotation of a RefSeq genome assembly. NCBI's taxonomy places the organism in Eukaryota, Metazoa, Chordata, Mammalia, Primates, Cheirogaleidae.
GUCGGCCUGCCUCUCAGAAUUGUAUAAGAAGCUCUUGCUUUGAGAUGUGGCAUGAGCAAAACUGACAGGUCAAACCCAGCAAGAUGGUGUCCCCAUUGCAGCUCCUAGGGCUUCUGCUCCUCUGGGCUCCAGCCUCCAGGGGUGAGAUUGUGCUGACCCAGUCUCCAGCCUUCCUGUCUGGGACUCCAGGAGAGAAAGCCACCCUCACCUGCAGGGCCAGUCAGAGUAUUGGCACAAGCUUACACUGGUACCAGCAGAAACCAGGUCAGCCUCCAAAGCUCCUCGUGAAGUAUGCCUCCCAGUCCGUGUCCUCAGGGUUCAGUGGCAGUGGAUCUGGGACAGAUUUCACCCUCACCAUCAGUAGCUUGAAAGCUGAAGAUGCUGCAACUUAUUACUGUCAGCAGAACAACUAUUAUCCUCCCACUGUGGUGCAACCCAGAACAAAAACUAGCUUAGCCUGGCUGAACAGAGAAAGUGCAUAA